GGUUAAGCGAACAAGCGUACACGGUGGAUGCCCUGGCAGUCAGAGGCGAUGAAGGACGUGCUAAUCUGCGAAAAGCGCCGGUAAGGUGAUAUGAACCGUUAUAGCCGGCGAUGUCCGAAUGGGGAAACCCAGUGUGAUUCGUCACACUAUCUCAGCAUGAAUACAUAGUGCUGUGAGGCGAACCGGGGGAACUGAAACAUCUAAGUACCCCGAGGAAAAGAAAUCAACCGAGAUUCCCCCAGUAGCGGCGAGCGAACGGGGAACAGCCCAGAGCCUGAAUCAGUUUGUGUGUCAGUGGAACGGUCUGGAAAGGCCGGCGAUACAGGGUGACAGCCCCGUACACGAAGGCACACAGGUUGUGAGCUCGAUGAGUAGGGCGGGACACGUGAUAUCCUGUCUGAAGAUGGGGGGACCAUCCUCCAAGGCUAAAUACUCCUGACUGACCGAUAGUGAACCAGUACCGUGAGGGAAAGGCGAAAAGAACCCCGGCGAGGGGAGUGAAACAGAACCUGAAACCGUGUACGUACAAGCAGUGGGAGCCUUCGUAAGAGGGUGACUGCGUACCUUUUGUAUAAUGGGUCAGCGACUUAUAUUCUGUAGCAAGGUUAACCGCAUAGGGGAGC
Molecule: ribosomal RNA, 623 nt
Filed under: Cronobacter dublinensis
Lineage: Bacteria; Pseudomonadati; Pseudomonadota; Gammaproteobacteria; Enterobacterales; Enterobacteriaceae
Description: partial 23S ribosomal RNA
Rfam family: Bacterial large subunit ribosomal RNA
Source: RNAcentral